AUCCAGCUGACGAUUCCCAAACAGGACGAAACGCGCGUUUUGGAU
Molecule: non-coding RNA, 45 nt
Filed under: Schistosoma margrebowiei
Lineage: Eukaryota; Metazoa; Platyhelminthes; Trematoda; Strigeidida; Schistosomatidae
Source: RNAcentral